CAGCCGCCGCGGGAAAACGUAGGGUGCGAGCGUUAAUCGGAAUUACUGGGCGUAAAGCGUGCGCAGGCGGUUAUAUAAGACAGAUGUGAAAUCCCCGGGCUCAACCUGGGACCUGCAUUUGUGACUGUAUAGCUAGAGUACGGUAGAGGGGGAUGGAAUUCCGCGUGUAGCAGUGAAAUGCGUAGAUAUGCGGAGGAACACCGAUGGCGAAGGUAAUCCCCUGGACCUGUACUGACGCUCAUGCACGAAAGCGUGGGGAGCAAACAGGAUUAGAUACCCCAGUAGUCCCUGUCUCUUAUAU
Molecule: ribosomal RNA, 301 nt
Filed under: uncultured bacterium
Lineage: Bacteria
Description: partial 16S ribosomal RNA
Rfam family: Bacterial small subunit ribosomal RNA
Source: RNAcentral